UACGUAGGGUGCGAGCGUUGUCCGGAAUUAUUGGGCGUAAAGGGCUCGUAGGCGGUUUGUCGCGUCGGGAGUGAAAACCUUGGGCUUAACUCAGGGCUUGCUUUCGAUACGGGCAGACUAGAGGUAUGCAGGGGAGAACGGAAUUCCUGGUGUAGCGGUGAAAUGCGCAGAUAUCAGGAGGAACACCGGUGGCGAAGGCGGUUCUCUGGGCCAUUCCUGACGCUGGGACGCGAAAGCUAGGGGAGCGAACAGG
This 253-nucleotide ribosomal RNA is filed under the name uncultured bacterium. RNAcentral describes it as "partial 16S ribosomal RNA". It matches the Rfam family "Bacterial small subunit ribosomal RNA", at positions 524 to 776 of the family's 1533-position model. The record is from RNAcentral.